RNAcentral lists this ribosomal RNA (449 nucleotides) under uncultured bacterium. Its description in RNAcentral is "bacterial SSU rRNA". It matches the Rfam family "Bacterial small subunit ribosomal RNA", at positions 328 to 793 of the family's 1533-position model. The record is from RNAcentral.
GAUCCAGACUCCUACGGGAGGCAGCAGUGGGGAAUAUUGCACAAUGGGGGAAACCCUGAUGCAGCGACGCCGCGUGAAGGAAGAAGUAUCUCGGUAUGUAAACUUCUAUCAGCAGGGAAGAAAACAGACGGUACCUGACUAAGAAGCCCCGGCUAACUACGUGCCAGCAGCCGCGGUAAUACGUAGGGGGCGAGCGUUAUCCGGAUUCACUGGGUGUAAAGGGGGCGCAGACGGCAGCGCAAGCCAGGAGUGAAAGCCCGGGGCCCAACCCCGGGACUGCUCUUGGAACUGCGCGGCUGGAGUGCAGGAGGGGCAGGCGGAAUUCCUGGUGUAGCGGUGAAAUGCGUAGAUAUCAGGAGGAACACCGGUGGCGGAGGCGGCCUGCUGGACUGCGACUGACGUUGAGGCCCGAAAGCGUGGGGAGCAAACAGGAUUAGAUACCCGAGUAU